Molecule: unclassified non-coding RNA, 957 nt
Filed under: Hevea brasiliensis (rubber tree)
Lineage: Eukaryota; Viridiplantae; Streptophyta; Magnoliopsida; Malpighiales; Euphorbiaceae
Source: RNAcentral
AAAUAAGAGUAUGAGCCCUGGUGAAUAUAAAUACUCCACCACCUCCAACAGCGCGGCCUAAAAGCAUAUUCUUAUCCAGAUAAGAAAGGUAAUAGAGGCCCCCCACAGAGUGUCUCUCUGGACUGGUCACUGGAACUCGAGCUUUGAAACUUCGAAUAAACUGCAGUAUCUGUAAACUUAAAAAUGACCUUGGCAGAAUUGCUGGAGCUAUUACAGCUUGCAGAUCGUCACUGAUGUUAAUAUUUUGAAGACCUAUCUCCUCAAACUUGAGGUAAAUAUUACGAGCAGAAACGGAAGAAAAUCUGGCAGUUACUAUCAGAGUAGCACCUUCAUUCUCCUCUAAUAAUCGUGGAACACUCCAUUUGAUGACAUUGCGUACCAAUCCUCCACGGGAUUCAUUCUGGCACUCAAAUUUCUGGAAAAUUUGACCCACCUGAAAGAAUGGAAGCCUAGCAGCAGAUUCAAAAAGAAUGAGCACGUCUGGUGCAGAUGUAUACUGCAACCGCCAUGUUCCGUCCAACUUACUCAAGUCAAUUUCCUUGCCAGCAUCAAAACCUUCAACCACAACCAUAGCCUCCUCAAUGGUGGAUCGUUGAUCAGCAGUUGUCACUAGGCCUCGUUGCGUAUCUUGGAUGAUAUUAAGCAGUUCAUAUUUUCGGUUUUCCAAUUCGUAUUCAGCAUCUCUUGCAACAGUCAUUGAGGCAGAUGACAUGGAUGUAGCCAAACAUGUAACUCUUCCAUGGUUGUGUACUCUUCUUAUGGUGUUUGAAAAGGAGACAACAGGUCUCACGCAUACGGCAGAGCCGAAACCUGAAAUCAUUGGGUAGCGAUUAAAGUCUCAAAUGAGGCAUGAAAGCUCAAAUUAGAAUCAAUCCUAAAAGCUGAGAUUCUCAAAAUGCUUAAUUUAGCACUAAAACAUCUCAAAUUGUUUUUAGCAAAAGAAGAGGCUGAAAGUUU